GUGAGUAACACGUGGAUAACCUACCUAUAAGAUUGGGAUAACUUCGGGAAACCGGAGCUAAUACCGGAUAAUAUUUUGAACCGCAUGGUUCAAAAGUGAAAGACGGUCUUGCUGUCACUUAUAGAUGGAUUCGCGCUGCAUUAGUUAGUUGGUAAGGUAACGGCUUACCAAGGCAACGAUGCAUAGCCGACCUGAGAGGGUGAUCGGCCACACUGGAACUGAGACACGGUCCAG
RNAcentral lists this ribosomal RNA (234 nucleotides) under uncultured Staphylococcus sp. RNAcentral's name for it is "partial 16S ribosomal RNA". It matches the Rfam family "Bacterial small subunit ribosomal RNA", at positions 106 to 334 of the family's 1533-position model. Lineage: Bacteria; Bacillati; Bacillota; Bacilli; Caryophanales; Staphylococcaceae. The record is from RNAcentral.